This 796-nucleotide ribosomal RNA is filed under the name uncultured Desulfobacterales bacterium. Its description in RNAcentral is "SSU rRNA". It matches the Rfam family "Bacterial small subunit ribosomal RNA", at positions 21 to 827 of the family's 1533-position model. Lineage: Bacteria; Pseudomonadati; Thermodesulfobacteriota; Desulfobacteria; Desulfobacterales. The record is from RNAcentral.
UGCUCAGAACGAACGCUGGCGGCGUGCCUAACACAUGCAAGUCGAACGAGAAAGUUUCCUUCGGGAAACCAGUAAAGUGGCGCAAGGGUGAGUAACACSUGAMUAAUCUACCUAUGAAUUCGGGAUAACUCSWCGAAAGUUGUGCUAAUACCGGAUAMSACCACGUCUCUUAUGUGAUGUGGCCAAAGGAGUCUCAAACUUCGUUUAUAGAUKWGUUCGCGGACCAUUAGCUUGUUGGCGGGAUAACAGCCCACCAAGGCGACGAUGGUUAGCCGGCCUGAGAGGGUGAUCGGCCACACUGGAACUGAGACACGGUCCAGACUCCUACGGGAGGCAGCAGUGGGGAAUAUUGCGCAAUGGGCGAAAGCCUGACGCAGCAACGCCGCGUGAGGGAUGAAGGAUUUUGGUUCGUAAACCUCUGUCAAGUGGGAAGAAUAAUGACGGUACCACUAAAGGAAGCCCCGGCUAACUCCGUGCCAGCAGCCGCGGUAAUACGGAGGGGGCAAGCGUUGUUCGGAAUUAUUGGGCGUAAAGAGUAUGUAGGCGGCUAGAUAAGUCAGACGUGUAAGCCCAUGGCUCAACCAUGGAAUUGCGUUUGAAACUAUUUAGCUUGAGUGCAGGAGAGGAAAGCGGAAUUCCCAGUGUAGCGGUGAAAUGCAUUGAUAUUGGGAAGAACACCGGUGGCGAAGGCGGCUUUCUGGUCUGUUACUGACGCUGAGAUACGAAAGCCAGGGGAGCAAAGGGGAUUAGAUACCCCCGUAGUCCUGGCCGUAAACGAUGGGCACUAGNUGUAGUA